ACAACAUUUUUUAUAAUGGCUUGUUUUAUGUUCCUGCUGCCAUCAAUUAUGGCCCAGAUGCCUAUGAACUUAUAAGAAAUUCAGGUAUAAAGUUUGUAACCAAUUCUCGGAUACAACAACCAGUUUUAUGUUCAAGCACACGCUUUCCAUCUUCAGUUUCUCUUGAAACAGUUGGACGCUUCCCUGCAACUACAGCUGGUCCUUCCUUUGCAGAACCUGUUCCUCCUCCACCACCAAGUCCUGGAGAUGUAAUUGAAGAUCAUGUUAUUGUUGAAACUAUUUGAAAGUUGAUGCCAUAAACUUGGAUUUGGGACAUUAUUCCUCUCAAUUCAACUGGCCACGCUGACCUCACCUACAUUGUCCCUGAUACAAUCUUGGAGUGGAAAGCCAAUGCCUUCUGUGUGGCCAAGGAGACUGGGUUUGGCAUCUCAGAGCCUGCAUCCCUGAUAGCCUUCCAGCCAUUCUUUGUGGAUCUGACACUGCCAUACUCCAUCGUUAGAGGGGAAGACUUCCUCCUUAAAGCUGUUAUUUUUAACUAUCUGGACAGAUGCAUCCAGGGACAUUCUCACACUACCGCUUUGUUCUCCUUGCUGGCUGAAACUGUUAGGAUGGAUCAGA
Long non-coding RNA from Candoia aspera, 618 nucleotides. RefSeq lists it as uncharacterized. NCBI's taxonomy places the organism in Eukaryota, Metazoa, Chordata, Lepidosauria, Squamata, Candoiidae. The record is from RefSeq and is a predicted model, not a curated record. The transcript is spliced from 4 exons.